AGUGAACGCUGGCGGUAGGCCUAACACAUGCAAGUCGAACGGCAGCACAGUAAGAGCUUGCUCUUACGGGUGGCGAGUGGCGGACGGGUGAGGAAUACAUCGGAAUCUACUUUUUCGUGGGGGAUAACGUAGGGAAACUUACGCUAAUACCGCACACGACCUACGGGUGAAAGCAGGGGAUCUUCGGACCUUGCGCGAUUGAAUGAGCCGAUGUCGGAUUGGCUAGUUGGCGGGGUAAGGGCCCACCAAGGCGACGAUCCGUAGCUGGUCUGAGAGGAUGAUCAGCCACACGGGAACUGAGACACGGUCCAGACUCCUACGGGAGGCAGCAGUGGGGAAUAUUGGACAGUGGGCGCAAGCCUGAUCCAGCCAUACCGCGUGGGUGGAGAAGGCCUUCGGGUUGGAAAGCCCUUUUGUUGGGAAAGAAAAGCAGCAGGUUAAUACCCCGCUGUUCUGACGGUACCCAAAGAAUAAGCACCGGCUAACUUCGUG
This 492-nucleotide ribosomal RNA is filed under the name uncultured bacterium. RNAcentral's name for it is "partial 16S ribosomal RNA". It matches the Rfam family "Bacterial small subunit ribosomal RNA", at positions 29 to 507 of the family's 1533-position model. The record is from RNAcentral.